AAGAUGGCGACCGGCGCACGGGUGAGUAACACGUAUCCAACCUGCCGAUAACUCCGGAAUAGCCUUUCGAAAGAAAGAUUAAUACCGGAUGGCAUACGAAUAUCGCAUGAUAUUUUUAUUAAAGAAUUUCGGUUAUCGAUGGGGAUGCGUUCCAUUAGUUUGUUGGCGGGGUAACGGCCCACCAAGACUACGAUGGAUAGGGGUUCUGAGAGGAAGGCCCCCCACAUUGGAACUGAGACACGGUCCAA
Molecule: ribosomal RNA, 248 nt
Filed under: uncultured bacterium
Lineage: Bacteria
Description: partial 16S ribosomal RNA
Rfam family: Bacterial small subunit ribosomal RNA
Source: RNAcentral